AGCUCAGUGGUAGAGCACUUGUCUGACAUGUAUGAGGCCCUGGGUUCAAUCCCCAG
Molecule: transfer RNA, 56 nt
Filed under: Heterocephalus glaber (naked mole-rat)
Lineage: Eukaryota; Metazoa; Chordata; Mammalia; Rodentia; Bathyergidae
Rfam family: tRNA
About the family: Transfer RNA (tRNA) molecules are approximately 80 nucleotides in length. Their secondary structure includes four short double-helical elements and three loops (D, anti-codon, and T loops).
Source: Rfam by way of RNAcentral